GACGAACGCUGGCGGCGUGCUUAACACAUGCAAGUCGAACGGAAAGGCCCUGCUUUUGUGGGGUGCUCGAGUGGCGAACGGGUGAGUAACACGUGAGUAACCUGCCCUUGACUUUGGGAUAACUUCAGGAAACUGGGGCUAAUACCGGAUAGGAGCUCCUGCUGCAUGGUGGGGGUUGGAAAGUUUCGGCGGUUGGGGAUGGAUUCGCGGCUUAUCAGCUUGUUGGUGGGGUAGUGGCUUACCAAGGCUUUGACGGGUAGCCGGCCUGAGAGGGUGACCGGCCACCUUGGGCCUGAGAUACGGCCCAGACUCCUACGGGAGGCAGCAGUGGGGAAUAUUGCACAAUGGGCGGAAGCCUGAUGCAGCAACGCCGCGUUCGGGAUGACGUCCUUCGGGUUGUAAACCGCUUUCGCCUGUGACGAAGCGUGAGUGACGGUAAUGGGUAAAGAAGCACCGGCUAACUACGUG
Molecule: ribosomal RNA, 468 nt
Filed under: uncultured bacterium
Lineage: Bacteria
Description: partial 16S ribosomal RNA
Rfam family: Bacterial small subunit ribosomal RNA
Source: RNAcentral